CAGCAAUCUGCACGGCUGCCUCUGCCCGCAGAAGCCUGGGCAGGAUUGUGUUUCUCAGCUGAAUCUGCACACUGGUGACACAUUGUCCAAGCUACGCCCUGGCCAUGGCUUGCCAAGAGUUCUCUUCUCCCUUAUGGAAACAAAGCAUCUCCCAAAUGCAUUUCUAUGGUCACCACCAGAGGUCAAAGAGUAACAGCAGCAACGACAUGCCCGGAGCUCCCACAGUGGAUGUGCUGUCUGUACCCGCUCCUGCUGCACCGUCACCUUGCAGGCUCCUCCUGCUUUUCUGGGUCUUCCAGGCUGGACUCCUCUCCUCCAGUCCUUGGUGA
This 329-nucleotide long non-coding RNA is filed under the name Chinchilla lanigera (long-tailed chinchilla). Its description in RNAcentral is "lncRNA (ENSCLAG00000022958.1)". Lineage: Eukaryota; Metazoa; Chordata; Mammalia; Rodentia; Chinchillidae. The record is from RNAcentral.